This 385-nucleotide ribosomal RNA is filed under the name uncultured bacterium. Its description in RNAcentral is "bacterial SSU rRNA". It matches the Rfam family "Bacterial small subunit ribosomal RNA", at positions 28 to 417 of the family's 1533-position model. The record is from RNAcentral.
GAUGAACGCUAGCGGCAGGCUUAACACAUGCAAGUCGAGGGGUAUAGUUCUUCGGAGCUAGAGACCGGCGCACGGGUGCGUAACGCGUAUGCAAUCUACCUUUUACAGAGGGAUAGCCCAGAGAAAUUUGGAUUAAUACCUCAUAGUAUAGCUGUACCGCAUGGUACUACUAUUAAAGUUACAACGGUAAAAGAUGAGCAUGCGUCCCAUUAGCUAGUUGGUAAGGUAACGGCUUACCAAGGCUACGAUGGGUAGGGUCCUGAGAGGGAGAUCCCCCANACUGGUACUGAGACACGGACCAGACUCCUACGGGAGGCAGCAGUGAGGAAUAUUGGACAAUGGGCGCAAGCCUGAUCCAGCCAUGCCGCGUGCAGGAUGACGGUCC